This 550-nucleotide ribosomal RNA is filed under the name uncultured Syndiniales. Its description in RNAcentral is "SSU rRNA". It matches the Rfam family "Eukaryotic small subunit ribosomal RNA", at positions 594 to 1148 of the family's 1831-position model. The record is from RNAcentral. Lineage: Eukaryota; Dinophyceae; Syndiniales.
AUAGCGUAUAUUAAAGUUGUUGCGGUUAAAAAGCUCGUAGUUGGAUUUCUGUCGAGGAUGGCCGGUCCGCACUUUGUGCGUGCAUCUGGUUCAGCCUUGGCAUCCUCCUGGGGAACGUAUCUGCGCUUAAUUGCGUGGUGCGGUAUCCAGGACUUUUACUUUGAGGAAAUUAGAGUGUUCACGGCAGGCAAACGCCUUGAAUACAUUAGCAUGGAAUAAUAAUAUAGGACCUUGGUCCCAUUUUGUUGGUUUCUGGAACUGAGGUAAUGAUUAAUAGGGAUAAUUGGGGGCAUUCGUAUUAACGUGUCAGAGGUGGAAUUCUUGGAUUACGUUACGACGAACUACUGCGAAAGCAUUUGCCAAGGAUGUUUUCAUUGAUCAAGAACGAAAGUUCGGGGAUCGAAGAUGAUUAGAUACCAUCGUAGUCCGAACCAUAAACUAUGCCAACUAGAGAUGGGCGAUCGUUAUUUUAUUGACUUCGUCCGCACCUUAUGAGAAAUCAAAGUCUUUGGGUUCCGGGGGGAGUAUGGUCGCAAGGCUGAAACUUAAA